RNAcentral lists this ribosomal RNA (580 nucleotides) under Streptomyces sp. ACM1. RNAcentral describes it as "bacterial SSU rRNA". It matches the Rfam family "Bacterial small subunit ribosomal RNA", at positions 24 to 621 of the family's 1533-position model. Lineage: Bacteria; Bacillati; Actinomycetota; Actinomycetes; Kitasatosporales; Streptomycetaceae. The record is from RNAcentral.
UCAGGACGAACGCUGGCGGCGUGCUUAACACAUGCAAGUCGAACGAUGAAGCCCUUCGGGGUGGAUUAGUGGCGAACGGGUGAGUAACACGUGGGCAAUCUGCCCUUCACUCUGGGACAAGCCCUGGAAACGGGGUCUAAUACCGGAUGACACUCUGUCCCGCAUGGGACGGGGUUGAAAGCUCCGGCGGUGAAGGAUGAGCCCGCGGCCUAUCAGCUUGUUGGUGGGGUGAUGGCCUACCAAGGCGACGACGGGUAGCCGGCCUGAGAGGGCGACCGGCCACACUGGGACUGAGACACGGCCCAGACUCCUACGGGAGGCAGCAGUGGGGGAUAUUGCACAAUGGGCGAAAGCCUGAUGCAGCGACGCCGCGUGAGGGAUGACGGCCUUCGGGUUGUAAACCUCUUUCAGCAGGGAAGAAGCGAAAGUGACGGUACCUGCAGAAGAAGCGCCGGCUAACUACGUGCCAGCAGCCGCGGUAAUACGUAGGGCGCAAGCGUUGUCCGGAAUUAUUGGGCGUAAAGAGCUCGUAGGCGGCUUGUUGCGUCGGUUGUGAAAGCCCGGGGCUUAACCCCGGGUC